This 305-nucleotide ribosomal RNA is filed under the name uncultured bacterium. RNAcentral describes it as "bacterial SSU rRNA". It matches the Rfam family "Bacterial small subunit ribosomal RNA", at positions 336 to 639 of the family's 1533-position model. The record is from RNAcentral.
CCCCUACGGGACGCAGCAGUGAGGAAUAUUGGUCAAUGGGCGGGAGCCUGAACCAGCCAUGCCGCGUGAAGGCGAGUGCCCUACGGGCGUUAAACUUCUUUUGUGCGGGAGCAAUAAGGGCCACGUGUGGCCCGAUGAGAGUACCGCACGAAUAAGCAUCGGCUAACUCCGUGCCAGCAGCCGCGGUAAUACGUAUGGUGCAAGCGUUAUCCGGAUUUACUGGGUGUAAAGGGAGCGUAGGCGGCGCGUUAAGUCUGAUGUGAAAACCCGAGGCUCAACCACGGGAGUGCAUUGGAAACUGGCGG